AACGCACCUUGCGCUCCUUGGUAUUCCGAGGAGCAUGCCUGUUUGAGUGUCAUUAUAUUCUCAAUCUCUACAACUUUGUGUUGUCCAGAUUGGAAGUGGGGGUUCUUUGUGUGGAAUCCAAUUUCUCACUCCCCUUAAAUGUAUUAGCUGGAAUGCCUCUGCAUAUCUGACUAUCAGUGUGAUAAUUAUCUAUGCUGUAGUUGUUGCAUGUGAGGGUAUCUGCUUCAUAAAUCGUCGUAAGACAAUUCUAUAUGACCAUCUUGACCUCAAAUCAGGUAGGACUACCCGCUGAACUUAA
This 298-nucleotide unclassified non-coding RNA is filed under the name uncultured Bolbitiaceae. RNAcentral describes it as "sequence contains ITS2". The stretch from base 1 to 52 matches the Rfam family "5.8S ribosomal RNA", at positions 103 to 154 of the family's 154-position model. The record is from RNAcentral. Lineage: Eukaryota; Fungi; Basidiomycota; Agaricomycetes; Agaricales; Bolbitiaceae.